CCUACGGGUGGCAGCAGUGAGGAAUAUUGGUCAAUGGCCGAGAGGCUGAACCAGCCAAGUCGCGUGAGGGAAGACGGCCCUACGGGUUGUAAACCUCUUUUGUCGGGGAGCAAAGCGAACCACGUGUGGUUCAUUGAGAGUACCCGAAGAAAAAGCAUCGGCUAACUCCGUGCCAGCAGCCGCGGUAAUACGGAGGAUGCGAGCGUUAUCCGGAUUUAUUGGGUUUAAAGGGUGCGCAGGCGGAGGUGCAAGUCAGCGGUCAAAUUGCGGGGCUCAACCCCGUACUGCCGUUGAAACUGCAUCCCUUGAGUGCGCGAGAAGUAUGCGGAAUGCGUGGUGUAGCGGUGAAAUGCAUAGAUAUCACACAGAACACCGAUUGCGAAGGCAUCUCACGAAUCCGCGAUUGACGCUGAUGCACGAAAGCGUGGGUAUCAAACAGGAUUAGAUACCCGAGUAGUC
RNAcentral lists this ribosomal RNA (459 nucleotides) under uncultured bacterium. RNAcentral describes it as "partial 16S ribosomal RNA". It matches the Rfam family "Bacterial small subunit ribosomal RNA", at positions 338 to 795 of the family's 1533-position model. The record is from RNAcentral.